Cucurbita maxima (winter squash) is the source of this 74-nucleotide non-coding RNA. Lineage: Eukaryota; Viridiplantae; Streptophyta; Magnoliopsida; Cucurbitales; Cucurbitaceae. The record is from the annotation of a RefSeq genome assembly.
CCUGGAAUAGCACAGUUAGUUAGAGUGUGUGGCUGAUAACCACAAGGUCGAAGGUUCAAACCCUCCUUCUAGUG